AUUGAACGCUGGCGGCAUGCCUUACACAUGCAAGUCGAACGGUAACAGGUCUUCGGAUGCUGACGAGUGGCGAACGGGUGAGUAAUACAUCGGAACGUGCCCGAUCGUGGGGGAUAACGGAGCGAAAGCUUUGCUAAUACCGCAUACGAUCUACGGAUGAAAGCAGGGGACCGCAAGGCCUUGCGCGGACGGAGCGGCCGAUGGCAGAUUAGGUAGUUGGUGGGAUAAAAGCUUACCAAGCCGACGAUCUGUAGCUGGUCUGAGAGGACGACCAGCCACACUGGGACUGAGACACGGCCCAGACUCCUACGGGAGGCAGCAGUGGGGAAUUUUGGACAAUGGGCGAAAGCCUGAUCCAGCCAUGCCGCGUGCAGGAUGAAGGCCUUCGGUUGUAAACUGCUUUGUACGGACGAAAGACUCCUUCUAAUAAAGGGGUCCAUGACGGUACCGUAAGAAUAAGCACCGGCUAACUACGUGCCAGCAGCCGCGGUAAACGU
RNAcentral lists this ribosomal RNA (497 nucleotides) under uncultured bacterium. RNAcentral's name for it is "bacterial SSU rRNA". It matches the Rfam family "Bacterial small subunit ribosomal RNA", at positions 30 to 528 of the family's 1533-position model. The record is from RNAcentral.